UCAAGAAGAAAAAGAAGAAGAGGAAGACGGAGCGCGGUAAAGAGAAAGAGACGAUAUUUUUGCUUGCCACAAAGAUACCGUGAUCCAACCCGCGAUGGAUGAUGGACCGUCGUCCGCCGUCAUCGGGUGAGCGCACAAAACGGGAGCACACGGAGUACAGAAGAGACGCCGCGCGCGGAAAAACAAACAUUCAAGAGGCGAAACGAGCCGGGUGGAGCAUCAAUUAAGGUGCUCGCCGUCC
Caenorhabditis elegans is the source of this 241-nucleotide non-coding RNA. Lineage: Eukaryota; Metazoa; Nematoda; Chromadorea; Rhabditida; Rhabditidae. The record is from Ensembl.